UCAAGGAAAAUUAAUGCAGCAUUCUGU
This 27-nucleotide non-coding RNA is filed under the name Mus musculus (house mouse). Lineage: Eukaryota; Metazoa; Chordata; Mammalia; Rodentia; Muridae. The record is from RNAcentral.